GGCCAGGCCCCGUGCAGUGGGAGCCUGCGAACCGCGUCAGAUCCGGGAGGAAGCAGCGCUAAGUAGUCCCUCUCAGGUGUGCGGGUCGCCUGGUCCCU
This 98-nucleotide signal recognition particle RNA is filed under the name Actinomycetes bacterium. RNAcentral describes it as "Actinobacteria bacterium signal recognition particle sRNA small type". It matches the Rfam family "Bacterial small signal recognition particle RNA". Rfam says of the family: The signal recognition particle (SRP) is a universally conserved ribonucleoprotein involved in the co-translational targeting of proteins to membranes. Archaeal SRP consists of a 7S RNA and homologues of the eukaryotic SRP19 and SRP54 proteins. In most bacteria, the SRP consists of a 4.5S RNA and the Ffh protein (a homologue of the eukaryotic SRP54 protein). RNAcentral also lists the same sequence under 1 other name. The record is from RNAcentral. Lineage: Bacteria; Bacillati; Actinomycetota; Actinomycetes.